This 631-nucleotide long non-coding RNA is filed under the name Bos taurus (domestic cattle). Its description in RNAcentral is "long non-coding RNA NONBTAT014963". Lineage: Eukaryota; Metazoa; Chordata; Mammalia; Artiodactyla; Bovidae. The record is from RNAcentral.
GGAAAACCCAGUAGUACUUAAAACAUACAAAUGAAUUAUACUAUUAGAUAAAAAAUUAAAUGUUCUAUUUUUAUGAAGAUAAAUGCUUAGUAGAUAAAAGCAGAUUUUAAGUUUAAUUAUCAGACUCAUAGAACUUCAAGUUUGGAAGGGACCCUUUUUAAUGUUGGCUGGUUUCAUUCAAACUGCGUGUAUUUUUUUCACUUAUAAGUUAUUACAUCUCUGGUGUUAAAAUUUCCUCACUAAAACAUAAAUUAAUAGAAUUAUAUUAAGAUACAUUACCAAUUAUUUAAAUGCAUUGGCUUUAUUAAGACACCUCUCUAAAAACAGGUCUCUCUACCUGACAUCAAUUACUUAAUCUUGAAUUUGGAUGGCAUUUUCAUAACAAAACCAAACAGUAUCCUUACUUUGAAAAUUAUCAAUUAUGAUUGACCAAAGAUUCUUUAAAAUGUCUUAAGCUUUGAGAAAACUGAUAGUUCUCUGUUAAACAAAUUUUCUACAUUUAUUUCUUAGAAAUAUUUCCAAAAUAUUUGUUUUUCAUUUUUUGAUGAAAAGUCAAACCUUCUGGAAAGCAAGAUAUUUGUUCUUAAAUUGUGUAUCUAUCUCUCAAAGCCCAUGUAGUUUUUUAAUUUGA